RNAcentral lists this ribosomal RNA (449 nucleotides) under uncultured soil bacterium. Its description in RNAcentral is "bacterial SSU rRNA". It matches the Rfam family "Bacterial small subunit ribosomal RNA", at positions 26 to 489 of the family's 1533-position model. The record is from RNAcentral.
AGGACGAACGCUGGCGGCGUGCUUAACACAUGCAAGUCGAGCGGUAAGGCCUUUCGGGGUACACGAGCGGCGAACGGGUGAGUAACACGUGGGUGAUCUGCCCUGCACUCUGGGAUAAGCCUGGGAAACUGGGUCUAAUACCGGAUAUGACCUGCUCUCGCAUGGGGGUGGGUGGAAAGAUUUAUCGGUGCAGGAUGGGCCCGCGGCCUAUCAGCUUGUUGGUGGGGUAAUGGCCUACCAAGGCGACGACGGGUAGCCGACCUGAGAGGGUGACCGGCCACACUGGGACUGAGACACGGCCCAGACUCCUACGGGAGGCAGCAGGUGGGAAUAUUGCACAAUGGGCGAAAGCCUGAUGCAGCGACGCCGCGUGAGGAUGAAGGCCUUCGGGUUCGUAAACCUCUUUCGAGCGAGGACGAAGCGACAAGUGACGGUACCUGACAGAAGAA